GCUCCCAUCAGCAGAUCCUGAUAAUUAUUUCUUUUGCAGAGUUUAAGAAUUCAGUGUCCAGCAGAUCAGCAGCCGAAAAGGAAGAUAUAAAGUGUGUCAAAAGCCUGGUGGUUCAACACAAUGAACAUGAAGACCAGCACAGCCUAGAUUUGGGUAUGAAAUAACGCUUUUACCUAUACUCGUAGGGGCAUCCCAGAUCCAGGUUUAGAGUGGACAAGAAGCAAGUAAAUUUUAACAUAAAAUAUUCCUUCCUGGUAACCUUAUCUAUUUCCUGAAAUGC
RNAcentral lists this small RNA (280 nucleotides) under Pan troglodytes (chimpanzee). RNAcentral describes it as "retained intron". The record is from RNAcentral. Lineage: Eukaryota; Metazoa; Chordata; Mammalia; Primates; Hominidae.